ACAGCUUCUAGAUGCAUUGCAGGUAUGGCUGCUGUGUUAUAUGUGUAUCAGUUAAGUGGCAGAGAGGAGACGGGCUAUAUACUCAGUAUUCUGACCUGUGAACAUCUGAAUGAUUAGUAGUCCAACACU
Small nucleolar RNA from Grammomys surdaster, 129 nucleotides. RefSeq annotates it as small nucleolar RNA SNORA17. Lineage: Eukaryota; Metazoa; Chordata; Mammalia; Rodentia; Muridae. The transcript has a single exon. The record is from RefSeq and is a predicted model, not a curated record.